AUUUCCUAGCCGAAGAGCGGCACGUGGAUGAAAGGAAAGUGCGCGGCGGCGACAGCGUGCGCUCAGACACCUACCUUCCUUUUGAAAUCGAGUCUGUUGAGUAUUUCCUGUAGUCUGGUUACUUCCUGUUUCAUCAACUCAGAGUUCCUCUCCGAUGGCUCUGCGAAACAUCAAAAGAAGAUACAAGAUGGAGGGCGGUAGGAAGUGUGGCUCUUCUGCUUUUUGCGCAUUUCUACCGCCAACCUCGAGACUGAAGGGUCUUGUAGCGGAAAUCAAAAUCAUCCUGCAUGUUCUCGAUGCACUUGACUCCUUGCUCCAUGAUCUGUGCACAAAUCCCUUUUCUUGGCUUUGUUUUGUUUUUGUUUUUUUUACAUCUGGGAUAUUUUACCUGCACACUAGUCCGGAUCAUCCCGAGUCUGUGGUCUAAGUUCUUUUGCCUCUCGAGGACGGCCGAAUUUUGCAGUUGUAGUGAUUUCUCCAGUGGGCUCUGUUUAAACAUGUUGCGUCACAAAAAAAGUGACCUCACGUUCGCUCCCCUUGCAUGUUAACAAUGAAUCUUCUGUGUCUUCAAACCUGCUGCUGCACGCAAGCGCUGGAGAGGAUCCGCCGUUCUUCUUCGAGGCAGUUGGCGAUCUCUCUAGACAUGGCCACCGGGUUGCUGGCGUAUUUCAUCUGCAGAAGAUGAUUUUUCACCAGUCACGUCAACUUGGUAAAGAAAGAUGUCUCUUACUUCUGCACAAAGUCAAUUUCCCCUCUGGGCUUGAAUGCACCCUCACCACUGAGUGGAGUAGAAAGGCUUCUGUGGAAGUUGAGCUCCUGAGACAAUGCCACCUCCACCUGGGACAACAUGUUGGAAUACAGCACCGCCGCCAUGGAGACGUUGGCAGACGCCGACUCCCUAAUGAGAAAGACAUUUUUAGACACACAUUUAAAAUAAUAAUAAAAAUCAUCCCCGAAGCAUUACAAUUUUUUUUCUUCAAAAUAACUUUUGCCCUAACAUAUAUGCCAGCUUCCCUUAUAUAAUAUAGGUCUUGUUUUGUUUUGUUUUCUGGUGAAAAACACACGCUACUGCUUUGUAUAAAAUAUUGAAUUUUUGUUCUUUUCUCUUACUCACCAAUCCUGUGCCUCGAUCCAACCGGCCAGACCCUGCCUGAUGUCCAUCGGAAAAUUAUCAUCAUACAACUCAUCCACACGCGCCAGUAGUCUCAUCUCCAGCUGCUGAAUUUGCUUCCACUGGCUCAUUUUGGACACUUGAGUGAAAACGACAGCGUCAAAUGACAUUUGAAAUGUGAUGUAAAGUUAGGGAAUUGUUGUCUUCUUACCUGAGACGUUUUCCCGUCAGUGUCGUUCACCGUGAGCACGCUUCUCUGGCUUUCGUUUUCAGUGCGCUUCAUAUUCAGGAAGUCUUGUAGUCAGGGACUUGGAGAGCUGCCCACGUUUGCACUUUUUAUUUAUUUAUUAUUUCAUCAACAAUGAUGUCAAUAAAAACAUUAGUACAUUA
This is a long non-coding RNA of Syngnathus typhle (broad-nosed pipefish), 1501 nucleotides long. RefSeq lists it as uncharacterized. The transcript has 2 exons. The record is from RefSeq and is a predicted model, not a curated record. Lineage: Eukaryota; Metazoa; Chordata; Actinopteri; Syngnathiformes; Syngnathidae.